Marmota flaviventris (yellow-bellied marmot) is the source of this 1136-nucleotide non-coding RNA. NCBI's taxonomy places the organism in Eukaryota, Metazoa, Chordata, Mammalia, Rodentia, Sciuridae. The record is from RefSeq and is a predicted model, not a curated record.
CCCCCCGGGCAGGCUGGGCCAUCCGCAGGACAGUGGGGGUGCAGGGGUGGGGUGUGGGGUACAGGGCUCCAGCUCACCUAUCCCAAGUCCAGGCCAGAUCUGAACAUGGAGGAAAUCCCUGGCUUCCACUGUGAUUCCUGAGCAAACGCGGCUCCUCCAGGGACACCCCUGCUCUGGCCCUCGGAAACCAGGACCUGCAGCCAUCGCUCACAAAAUUCAUCAGAGAGGUCCGGGGCCCCGUUUGGGAAGAGCCAGUCCUUCUGGGGAACCCUCACAGGAUGGCAAGCAGUCAGAGAACUGCAGCCAGAAGACUGGGCCGAGGAAGGACAUCCUGUGAUUCUGAGAGGACGAUAUUCCUGCCAGCACAGUUAUUGACUGCGGUUUGGGCCACCCUGACACCAGCCCUGUGCCCACUUCCCUCCCUACCUGGCUUCAGCAGCAGAUGCCAGCAUCUCUCCCGGCCUGCCACCCCCACCCCGUGGCCAGAGAGAUGGGAAGGACGGCAGAGCUCUCAGGCCCCCAGCUGCUCUGAGUUGCAGAGAAGGGGAACUGGACAGGAAGCCUAACCUGAUCCGUCAGGCCCCUUCCUUAUUUACUGUGAAACCCCUCAGGAUCGAUGCUCAUGGUCUGCGUGAGUUCCCAUUCACAACUACAGAUGGCCACGUUUUGUAUGGGAAGGAAGACAGGAUGAAGGAGAAUCAGUGGGGGUUCCUGUCUGAGUUUCCCCACAGAACCAGGAGACCCCUGAAGGCAGGAGUCUCUCCUCUCUGACCUCCAGAUCUUCCUCUGUAGCCCGGAGCUCUCACAGUGAUGGAGAUGGGAGGGAGCCUGAGUCAGGGCGCCACAUUGGCGAGCAAGUGUUGGGUCUACACAGAAUGAGAAGCUGACAUACCCGGAGAAGGUUCCCCACCGCUCCCCCAAAAUCAUGCCCCGCCCCCCCCCUUGAGCCCAGGACCUCCCUUCCUCCCCACCAUGAUGCGAUUGGCUCCUGACCCAACUUUCAAGUCAAACCAACAGGAUCAAGACUCUGACCAAAUGCUCUGUCAAAAUGACACCCCCCAAAAAAUCUCCCAUUGAGAAGAAUUAUGAGGACUUUUCAUUUAAAAAUAAUAAUAAUAAAAUGGAAUGGAAAUGAC